UACAGAGGGUGCGAGCGUUGUCCGGAAUCACUGGGCGUAAAGGGCGCGUAGGCGGCUCAUGAAGGCUGUGGUGAAAGUCCGGGGCUCAACCUCGGAUCGGCCGUGGCGACUCGUGGGCUGGAGCACUGUAGAGGCGGGUGGAAUUCCGGGUGUAGCGGUGGAAUGCGUAGAGAUCCGGAAGAACACCAGUGGCGAAGGCGGCCCGCUGGGCAGUGGCUGACGCUGAGGCGCGACAGCGUGGGGAGCAAACAGG
RNAcentral lists this ribosomal RNA (253 nucleotides) under uncultured bacterium. Its description in RNAcentral is "partial 16S ribosomal RNA". It matches the Rfam family "Bacterial small subunit ribosomal RNA", at positions 524 to 776 of the family's 1533-position model. The record is from RNAcentral.